Molecule: ribosomal RNA, 465 nt
Filed under: uncultured bacterium
Lineage: Bacteria
Description: bacterial SSU rRNA
Rfam family: Bacterial small subunit ribosomal RNA
Source: RNAcentral
AUCAACGCUGGCGGCGUGCCUCAGACAUGCAAGUCGAACGAUUAAGACUCUCUUCGGAGAGUGUAUAAAGUGGCGCACGGGUGAGUAACACGUAAGUAAUCUACCUUUGAGUGGGGAAUAACAGUCGGAAACGACUGCUAAUACCGCAUAAUGCAGCGGCACCGCAAGGUGACAGUUGUUAAAGGAGCAAUUCGCUUGAAGAGGAGCUUGCGGCAGAUUAGCUUGUUGGUAAGGUAACGGCUUACCAAGGCUACGAUCUGUAACCGGUCUAAGAGGACGGUCGGUCACACUGACACUGAAUAACGGGUCAGACUCCUACGGGAGGCAGCAGUCGGGAAUUUUGGGCAAUGGGCGAAAGCCUGACCCAGCAACGCCGCGUGAAGGAUGAAGUAUUUCGGUAUGUAAACUUCGAAAGAAUAGGAAGAAUCAAUGACGGUACUAUUUAUAAGGUCCGGCUAACUACGU